RNAcentral lists this small RNA (267 nucleotides) under Vicugna pacos (alpaca). RNAcentral's name for it is "7SK RNA (ENSVPAG00000016934.1)". The stretch from base 1 to 207 matches the Rfam family "7SK RNA". From Rfam's summary of the family: 7SK was discovered as an abundant small nuclear RNA in the mid-70s but a possible function has only recently been suggested. Lineage: Eukaryota; Metazoa; Chordata; Mammalia; Artiodactyla; Camelidae. The record is from RNAcentral.
GGAUAUAGGUGUGUGCUGGCUGAGAUAUUUGUCACCCCAUUGAUCACCAGGGUGGAUUCAGUUCACUCGGCUGAUCCGGCUGGCUUGCAGGUGUCCCCACCCUCCCCCACUGCUCCACGUGCUUGCCUCCUGAAGCCAAGCGCUCCGUCAAAAAAGUCAGUCUUCCCCGAAAGAAGGGGACCAGUCUUCUGUCCAGGGAAGAUGCUAGAAUCUCUACACAAGCUCCCCCAAACUCCUCAACAUCAGGGGACCCUCCUGUCCUAGUGU